AAUAGGUACCAGCUUUCCUAAAUGAACAGUGUGGGCCUUGGACCUGCACCUGCAGCAGGUGCGCCCUGAACCCGCAGGUCCUGAGUUGACCUCCCCUUCUCACGGGGAACUCUCCACCCUUCAUCAGAGACAGCAGAAGAAAAACUGUCCAGGCGGGGAGGGGCAGUAGCCAGGAUGGGAGCCCUAGGCAAGGAAGGCUAAGGCGCGCAGGUGACCUGCGGGGGAGUGGUUUUCUUUUUCUUUUCCUUUUCCUUGCAGCGCUUGGGUUCGAACCCAGGGUCUCGCGCUUGGUAGGUAGGAGCACAAGCGCCCCACCCUGAGCUGCACCCUCAACCCGCGAUUUCUAAUGGGCUCCCCCCCACCCCCAUGCGAGCCCUUACAGGAGUCAGAAGAGCCUGUUCUAAAGGCAAAGUUUCUUAGGUGCGAUAAAUGCUGAAAAGGAGGUUGACUAGGAAUGUCCCGCAGCUCGCGUGCGGCGAACCCCAACCCUCGCCUGGGGCGAAAGGAAAGCCCACCUCCCUGCAGACGAGGCUGAGGGUGGACCACUAAACCCAGGCUGAAGCCGAAGGCCUCCGAGCUGCGCGUGCGGAGGUCCUGGAAGGCGCGGCGCAGACCGGAGAGAGCGGGCGGCGCCCGGUGCGGAGCCGGACUCCUGGCUGCGGAGGUGAGCAAGCGGCGCAGGGGUCGUGGAGACGGGCCCAUCACCAUGACCAGCUGGAACGUCAGCCUUCGGCGAAAGGGUGACCCGUGAGAGCUGCAAGCGCAGGCUUAAAAAAAUAAAAUAUAAAAUAAAAAACCAAUCGCAAGGCCCUGCAUUUUCCUCUCAGGGAAUGAAGUCCACCUACUGGCGCCGCGGAAUUUAGCACAGGGGUAUUUUCCUAUCAGCCGCACUUGGCUGUCACCACCAGAGGGCGGCGAAGCCCGCGCCAUCGCGAC
RNAcentral lists this long non-coding RNA (936 nucleotides) under Marmota monax (woodchuck). The record is from RNAcentral. Lineage: Eukaryota; Metazoa; Chordata; Mammalia; Rodentia; Sciuridae.